UGGGGAAUAUUGGACAAUGGGGGCAACCCUGAUCCAGCAAUGCCGCGUGUGUGAAGAAGGCCUUCGGGUUGUAAAGCACUUUUGGCUGUGACGAAGGUGAGUAGUUUAAGAGACAGCUCACUUGACGGUAGCAGCAGAAUAAGCACCGGCUAACUCUGUGCCAGCAGCCGCGGUAAUACAGAGGGUGCAAGCGUUAAUCGGAGUUACUGGGCGUAAAGGGCGCGUAGGCGGUCUUUUAAGUGAGAUGUGAAAUCCCUGGGCUUAACCUAGGAACUGCAUCUCAUACUGGGAGACUAGAGUAUUGUAGAGGGUAGUGGAAUUUCCGGUGUAGCGGUGAAAUGCGUAGAGAUCGGAAGGAACACCAGUGGCGAAGGCGGCUACCUGGACAAAUACUGACGCU
Molecule: ribosomal RNA, 400 nt
Filed under: uncultured bacterium
Lineage: Bacteria
Description: bacterial SSU rRNA
Rfam family: Bacterial small subunit ribosomal RNA
Source: RNAcentral